This 253-nucleotide ribosomal RNA is filed under the name uncultured bacterium. RNAcentral describes it as "partial 16S ribosomal RNA". It matches the Rfam family "Bacterial small subunit ribosomal RNA", at positions 524 to 776 of the family's 1533-position model. The record is from RNAcentral.
UACGUAGGGGGCAAGCGUUGUCCGGAUUUAUUGGGCGUAAAGAGCGUGUAGGCGGCCAUACAGGUCAGCUGUGAAAACUCGAGGCUCAACCUCGAGACGUCGGUUGAAACCGUAUGGCUAGAGUCCGGAAGAGGAGAGUGGAAUUCCCGGUGUAGCGGUGAAAUGCGCAGAUAUCGGGAAGAACACCAACGGCGAAAGCACUCUGCUGGGCCGACACUGACACUGAGAGACGAAAGCUAGGGGAGCAAACAGG